CAAUUCGAACAAUUUGGGAAAUUUUUAGAGACGACGACGACGAACUCAGAAGCGAGGGAUAAUGAACCCGUUAACCCUAGUAAAACGCAUUCAGCAAAUCAACACGAAAGAAGCGGCACUAGGGAUCUCCGAACAAGCUUCAUGGCACGCCAAGUACAAGGACUCCGCCUACGUCUACGCCGGCGGCAUUCCCUUCGACCUCACCGAAGGCGAUCUCCUCGCCGUUUUCGCCCAAUAUGGAGAGAUCGUCGAUGUUAACCUUGUUAGAGACAAAGGCACUGGUAAAUCCAAAGGCUUUGCGUUUGUUGCGUAUGAGGACCAGAGAAGUACGAAUCUUGCUGUAGAUAACUUGAACGGAGCUCAGAUUUUAGGUAGGAUUAUUAGGGUUGAUCAUGUUAGUAACUAUAAGAAGAAACAGGAAGAAGACGAAGAGGAGGAGCGGAAGAAGAGAGAGGAACGCGGCGUGUGCCGCGCUUUCCAAAGAGGCGAUUGCACUCGUGGCGCCGGUUGCAAAUUUUCGCACGACGAACAAAGAGCUGCGAAUACAGGUUGGGGUCCUCAAAAUGAAGGUCCAAAAUGGGGACAUGACAAGUUUGAAGGUCCAAAAUGGGGUGAGAAACAAUCUGACAGGAACCCAUCAAAACCUGUUCGGCCACCUAUGAUUCCAGGUGGUUUUAGACGGGAUGAUAAAGAUAUGCCCUCCAGAUCAAAGGGCAGUGAAAGGGCCUUAGAGAGCAACCCUAGGGUAAGUGAUAGGAGGGAGGAAAAGAGUUCAGGAAGGCAUGAUGAUGAUGAGUUCGAGCCAAAGUCAAGGGAAGAUCAUGACAGGAGGCAAGAUAAGAGAUUGGGAAGGCAUAAUGAUAAUGAAUUUCAGUCUAAGUCAAGAGAUCAUAAUAGGGAAGAAAGAAGAUCAAGAACACUUGAUGGUGAUGAAUUUCAGCCAAAAGCGAGAGAAGUUAAUGAUUGGAGAGCAGAAAAGAGAUCAAGAAGAGACAAUGGUGUUGAAUUUGAGUCAAAGUCAAGAGAUGUGAGGGAGGAAAAGAGAUUGAGAAGGCACGGUGAUGAUCAUCUUGAACCAAAGUCCAGAGAAGAUGGAAAGGAAGAAAAGAGGUCAAGAAGGCAUGAUGAUGAAUUUGAUGGAAAGGAAGAAAAGAGAUCAAGAAGGCAGGAUGAUGAUGAUGAAUUUGAGCCAAGAUCAAGAGAAGAUGGAAGGGAAGAAAAGAAAUCGAGAAGGCAUGACUCAGAUUACCAUAUGGUAGAAAAGGGAGACAAGGGAGGAGACAUUUGGCCAAAUCAUCGUAGGGAUUCCACAUCUCGUUCUAACAGAGGGGGAGACGGAGAUCGCCGGCAUAGAUCAGAUAAGGAUCUUCAUUAAAUGUUUACAGGGGUAAGCUCUUAUCUUUGGGAGACGUGUAACAGGAUCAUUUCCAUAUGCUACCUGAAGAAUGUUUGGCUGAGGUCUAUUCUGUAUUUUGCUUGGAUUUGUCCUCCCUUCUCCCCACACUGACCAUGGAACGCUGGUGUAGCUUGACAGAUAGUGUGCCUGGUUCUGAGCAUCUUUUGAUCCCUCCAGACAACUUGGAAUGUAUGAUUAAAUGUCGGAUAAAUUUUUCACCAAGGUGGCGCCGUUUUACACCCUAAUCUAUGCCUCAGCAGACUCUACAUGAAUGCAAAUGCUCCCCAAAGAUGUGAAACCUUAGGCAGUUGUUUGGUUUGUCUUUUGACCGUUAAAUUUCAUCUCAAAAUUCAAAG
Corylus avellana is the source of this 1752-nucleotide RNA transcript. It is a transcript of the gene named RNA recognition motif (RRM)-containing protein, with no coding region annotated. Lineage: Eukaryota; Viridiplantae; Streptophyta; Magnoliopsida; Fagales; Betulaceae. The record is from RefSeq and is a predicted model, not a curated record.